AACGCACAUUGCGCCCCUCGGUAUUCCGUGGGGCAUGCCUGUUCGAGCGUCAUUACACCCCUCAAGCUCUGCUUGGUGUUGGGCCUCUGUCGCGCCUCUCCCGGCGUCGACUGGCCUCAAAUGCUCCGGCAGCCUCCCCGCCCGGCCCUCUCAGCGCAGCAGUUCGCGCCUGCGAGCCGGCGGGAGCGCCGCCUCCACCGAAGACCCCCCGAGUUUGACCUCGAAUCAGGCAGGGAUACCCGCUGAACUUAA
Molecule: unclassified non-coding RNA, 252 nt
Filed under: uncultured Dothideomycetes
Lineage: Eukaryota; Fungi; Ascomycota; Dothideomycetes
Description: sequence contains 5.8S rRNA gene, ITS2, 28S rRNA gene
Source: RNAcentral